AUGCAUAUGUGGAAACACACCCAUAUCUCCUGCUCACACCCCCCAUGCAUAUGUAGAAACAUACCCACAUCUCCUGCUCACACCCCCCAUGCAUAUGUGGAAACACGCCCACAUCUCCUGCUCACCCCCCCCAUGCAUAUGUGGAAACACGCCCACAUCUCCUGCUCACCCCCCCAUGCAUAUGUGGAAACACGCCCACAUCUCCUGCUCACCCCCCCAUGCAUAUGUGGAAACACGCCCAUAUCUCCUGCUCACCCCCCCAUGCAUAUGUGGAAACACACCCAUAUCUCCUGCUCACCCCCCCCCAUGCAUAUGUGGAAACAUACCCACCUCUGCUUACAUCCCCCACCCUUCCAUGCACAUUUGGAACCUCCCUGUGCUUCCUCAGUCAGACCUGUGUCUACUAGGUUUGGUCCAUGGAUAUUUCAAAGGGAGAUUUCCCCUGCCAUUUAGCUGUCCUCACAAAACUAGGACAAGUGACCAACACUGCACUCAAUGAGCCAGCCUCCCUCUUUUAGGGACCAAGCAAUUGCUUCUCCUAGACCAGAGCAGGGGGAAGUGAUCGGCUAUCUCACCUGGCACAUGAAGCCCGUUCUUGGAACUAUGCAAAGGGCAGAGGCUGGGAGUCUGGGUGCUUGGCCCCCAUCCUGUCCUACCUCACCAGGGCACUUUCAAGGUCCAAGGCCUCAGAUGUCUCCAGGCCCAUACGGGACAAUCAACCCUGACUGAGCUCUCCCAUCCCCUUGGGUGAGGAUGACUGUUAUUUUUGUAGCUGAGAACGUGGAACCCCACGAGUUUUUACUGCCCUUCACCCUAACCUCUCCCGCCUCCACCCCACAAUGAAUGUAUUUAUUGUGAGAAUGGCUGUACUUCUUCAGGAAUGCCCCCACUCAUCACCUAGGUGGGUGGGACAGGCCUGGGUUGGGAUGGGGAGCCUGGACUCUGCUCCUUCUCAUGUUGGUUAAUAAAAGCCCUCUUUCCCCACAGCUUUGAGUAUCUGCUUGCUCUAGACUGGCUUUACC
This 1022-nucleotide long non-coding RNA is filed under the name Cricetulus griseus (Chinese hamster). RNAcentral's name for it is "lncRNA (ENSCGRG00015030830.1)". The record is from RNAcentral. Lineage: Eukaryota; Metazoa; Chordata; Mammalia; Rodentia; Cricetidae.